Molecule: transfer RNA, 85 nt
Filed under: Felis catus (domestic cat)
Lineage: Eukaryota; Metazoa; Chordata; Mammalia; Carnivora; Felidae
Rfam family: tRNA
About the family: Transfer RNA (tRNA) molecules are approximately 80 nucleotides in length. Their secondary structure includes four short double-helical elements and three loops (D, anti-codon, and T loops). Further hydrogen bonds mediate the characteristic L-shaped molecular structure. tRNAs have two regions of fundamental functional importance: the anti-codon, which is responsible for specific mRNA codon recognition, and the 3' end, to which the tRNAs corresponding amino acid is attached (by aminoacyl-tRNA synthetases). tRNAs cope with the degeneracy of the genetic code in two manners: having more than one tRNA (with a specific anti-codon) for a particular amino acid; and 'wobble' base-pairing, i.e. permitting non-standard base-pairing at the 3rd anti-codon position.
Source: Rfam by way of RNAcentral
GCCUGGGUGGCUCAGUUGGUUGAGCGGCCGACUUCGGCUCAGGUCACGAUCUUGCAGUCCGUGAGUUCGAGCCUCACAUCGGGCU